This is a long non-coding RNA of Rhineura floridana, 412 nucleotides long. RefSeq lists it as uncharacterized. The record is from RefSeq and is a predicted model, not a curated record. Lineage: Eukaryota; Metazoa; Chordata; Lepidosauria; Squamata; Rhineuridae. The transcript has 3 exons.
AGCGUAUAACUUUCAACAGCAGCAAGAUUGUCUUUUUCUCUACAAUAAUAUAGCAGGAAAUCUAGAACUGAAGACCACAGCAGGAUCUUGACAGAUCGCCCCUACACCCAAUAAAGAAGACUCAUGAGACUCACAGUUGGGAGAAUGACAUAUUUAUUUAAAAUACAACACAUCUGGAGAACCUGCAGACCAAAUGAACUAAAUUCAAGCUGCUCAGGCAGCUGAAGAGACUAACAAGCAACUCCUUACUAUAUAUAACCUAGUAGGGAAGAUGUGAAAUUUCUCAAGUUCCAAGGAGCUUUCAGAAGUCUUACAGAGAUGGUUUCAGACCACAUGGGAUUAUUCCUCAGCAGCAUCUAUAUUUCUGACCAAACUCAAUUACUUCUAUACUGAAGUGACUUGUUCUAAACAA